This 200-nucleotide unclassified non-coding RNA is filed under the name Trechisporales sp. RNAcentral's name for it is "partial internal transcribed spacer 2". Lineage: Eukaryota; Fungi; Basidiomycota; Agaricomycetes; Trechisporales. The record is from RNAcentral.
UUAAGUUCAGCGGGUAGUCCUACCUGAUUUGAGGUCAGAUCUCAAAGAGUGUUGACCGCCGCUCCAGAGGCAGGUCGGGGUCGGGCGCGCAAAGCUGAGGCACGUCGGAGGAGCGAGGGUAAUACAACGCCCAGGUGACAGAGCCCCAGUAGGCCCGACCGAUGCAUUUAAGGGGAGCCGCCUCGCGGCAGCAGAGCCCC